CGAAAGCCUGACGGAGCAACGCCGCGUGAGGGAUGAAGGCCUCUGGGCUGUAAACCUCUUUUCUCAAGGAAGAAGAACUGACGGUACUUGAGGAAUAAGCCACGGCUAAUUCCGUGCCAGCAGCCGCGGUAAUACGGGAGUGGCAAGCGUUAUCCGGAAUUAUUGGGCGUAAAGCGUCCGCAGGCGGCCGUACAAGUCUGUCGUUAAAGCGUGGAGCUUAACUCCAUUUCAGCGAUGGAAACUGUGAGGCUUGAGUGUGGUAGGGGCAGAGGGAAUUCCCGGUGUAGCGGUGAAAUGCGUAGAUAUCGGGAAGAACACCAGUGGCGAAGGCGCUCUGCUGGGCCAUAACUGACGCUCAUGGACGAAAGCCAUGGGAGCG
Molecule: ribosomal RNA, 379 nt
Filed under: uncultured cyanobacterium
Lineage: Bacteria; Bacillati; Cyanobacteriota
Description: bacterial SSU rRNA
Rfam family: Bacterial small subunit ribosomal RNA
Source: RNAcentral